AGCUUUGGAACGGAUUGAAGUACAAGAUAGAAAUCACCAAGCAUUAGCUUCACAAGUGGAAAGUAUGAAAAAGAUGAUAGAAGAAUUUACUCGUGCACAACAGGGACCACCACAUGAUCCCUAGCUCUGCGGACCGAAGGUGUAGAAUGACGCGCAUACGCACCUCGUUGGAAGACUUUUUCUUAUGUUUAUGUUUUUUCUAUUUUGAGAACUAUAUUUAUUGUAGUGAACUAUAUUUUCGUAUUAUUAAUUUUAAUUCUAUUUUUUUAA
Long non-coding RNA from Cucumis melo (muskmelon), 270 nucleotides. RefSeq lists it as uncharacterized. The record is from RefSeq and is a predicted model, not a curated record. The transcript is spliced from 2 exons. Lineage: Eukaryota; Viridiplantae; Streptophyta; Magnoliopsida; Cucurbitales; Cucurbitaceae.